Molecule: ribosomal RNA, 253 nt
Filed under: uncultured bacterium
Lineage: Bacteria
Description: partial 16S ribosomal RNA
Rfam family: Bacterial small subunit ribosomal RNA
Source: RNAcentral
GACGAAGGGGGCUAGCGUUGUUCGGAAUUACUGGGCGUAAAGCGAGUGUAGGUGGUUGUCAUAGUCAGGUGUGAAAGCCUUGAGCUCAACUCAAGAAAUGCACUUGAUACUGGGCAGCUAGAGGACCGGAGAGGAUAGUGGAAUUCCCAGUGUAGUGGUGAAAUACGUAGAGAUUGGGAAGAACACCAGUGGCGAAGGCGGCUAUCUGGACGGUUUCUGACACUAAGACUCGAAAGCGUGGGGAGCAAACAGG